CCUGCCUACGGGAGGCAGCAGUGGGGAAUAUUGCACAAUGGGGGAAACCCUGAUGCAGCGACGCCGCGUGAGUGAAGAAGUAUUUCGGUACGUAAAGCUCUAUCAGCAGGGAAGAAAAAAAGUCCUUUGGACUUUGGACGGUACCUGACCAAGAAGCCCCGGCUAACUACGUGCCAGCAGCCGCGGUAAUACGUAGGGGGCAAGCGUUAUCCGGAUUUACUGGGUGUAAAGGGAGCGUAGACGGCAGCGCAAGUCUGGAGUGAAAUGCCGGGGCCCAACCCCUGGGACUGCUUUAGAAACUGUUA
Molecule: ribosomal RNA, 305 nt
Filed under: uncultured bacterium
Lineage: Bacteria
Description: bacterial SSU rRNA
Rfam family: Bacterial small subunit ribosomal RNA
Source: RNAcentral